AGAGUUUGAUCAUGGCUCAGGAUAAACGCUGGCGGCGUGCCUAAUGCAUGCAAGUCGAACGGAUAGUUUCGCAAGAAGCUAUUAGUGGCAAACGGGUGAGUAACACGUGGGGAUCUGCCCAGUAGUGGGGAACAACUCCUCGAAAGAGGAGCUAAUACCGCAUACGGUACUUGUGGAGACGCAAGCUACUAAAGCCUUUCGGGGUGCUAUUGGAGGAACCUGCGGCUGAUUAGCUAGUUGGUGGGGUAAAGGCCUACCAAGGCGAUGAUCAGUAGCUGGUCUGAGAGGAUGGACAGCCACACUGGGACUGAGAUACGGCCCAGACUCCUACGGGAGGCAGCAGCAAGGAAUUUUCGUCAAUGGGGGAAACCCUGAACGAGCAACGCCGCGUGGGCGAAGAAGUCCUUCGGGAUGUAAAGCCCUUUUCCCUGUGAAGAAAGAAAGACGGUAACAGGGGAAUAAGCAUCGGCUAACUACGUGCCAGCAGCCGCGGUAAUAC
This 499-nucleotide ribosomal RNA is filed under the name uncultured bacterium. RNAcentral describes it as "bacterial SSU rRNA". It matches the Rfam family "Bacterial small subunit ribosomal RNA", at positions 8 to 526 of the family's 1533-position model. The record is from RNAcentral.